This 301-nucleotide ribosomal RNA is filed under the name uncultured bacterium. RNAcentral's name for it is "partial 16S ribosomal RNA". It matches the Rfam family "Bacterial small subunit ribosomal RNA", at positions 509 to 807 of the family's 1533-position model. The record is from RNAcentral.
CAGUAGCCGCGGUAAUACGUAGGGUGCAAGCGUUAAUCGGAAUUACUGGGCGUAAAGCGUGCGCAGGCGGUUUGUUAAGACAGAUGUGAAAUCCCCGGGCUCAACCUGGGAACUGCAUUUGUGACUGGCAGGCUAGAGUAUGGCAGAGGGGGGUGGAAUUCCGCGUGUAGCAGUGAAAUGCGUAGAUAUGCGGAGGAACACCGAUGGCGAAGGCAGCCCCCUGGGCCAAUACUGACGCUCAUGCACGAAAGCGUGGAGAGCAAACAGGAUUAGAUACCCCCGUAGUCCCUGUCUCUUAUAC